RNAcentral lists this ribosomal RNA (275 nucleotides) under uncultured bacterium. Its description in RNAcentral is "partial 16S ribosomal RNA". It matches the Rfam family "Bacterial small subunit ribosomal RNA", at positions 523 to 796 of the family's 1533-position model. The record is from RNAcentral.
AUACGGAGGGGGCUAGCGUUGUUCGGAAUUACUGGGCGUAAAGCGCGCGUAGGCGGCCAGUCAAGUCGGGGGUGAAAAUCCGGGGCUCAACCCCGCGAAAUGCAGGUGAAACUGGCAGACUUGAGACCGGUAGAGGCUAGCGGAAUUCCUGGUGUAGCGGUGGAAUGCGUAGAUAUCAGGAAGAACACCUGUGGCGAAGGCGGCUAGCUGGGCCGGUUCUGACACUGAACUGCGAAAGCGUGGGGAGCAAACAGGAUUAGAAACCCCGGUAGUCC